UUUUUUUUUUAUUUCAUUUUUUCACCAGAAUCACAAAGUCAAGUUAACAGUAAGCACAUUUACAUAGUGUUAAAAAAAGACUUUCUAUAAAGGUGAUUUGGUGGCAGAUUGAUAUUUGUUGUGGUUUGUGAUUAAGUUUGGAACUUUUAUGGACUUUCUUUAGUCUCUUUGAGGUUUUAUCCUGCAGUGUCCAACACAGGAUGAGAUGAGAAGACCCUGAGGCUUUUAUGGCUGAAAGAGGAGAGUCUGACAACAAUAUAUUAAGUUAUUCUGGUUAGAAUAAUGAAACGUUUCAAAAGGAAAGCAACUUCUAACACAAUAGUUCAUAGUUUCUCAGAAAAUGAAACUAACUUGUCCAGUAGGGGGCAGCGAUGGUACAGAGUUUUGUUUCACAAGAAAUCAGCCCCCUUUAUAAGUCAGUGGAGUUUGCAUGCUGGACGGCAUAAAAAGAUUCCAAGAGGGAGGAAGAACAAUCAUCUAUACGUUUCUAUCAUCCACUAUGGGGCUGCUCACUUUAGCUGCCGCAGCUGCAGGACUAGGUGUGAGUGUGGCGACUGCUCCUGUUUUCAUCGGAACUCUUGGCCUCACCACAACUUUUGCCUUUUAUACUGGUGGAAUGACAACAGCUGUGAUACCAGUUGGAGUGGCCAAUUUGGGAACUGCUGCCGCCGCAGCCGUGGGGAGUGUUGGAGGAGCUGUGGGAGCCCUGGUCGCACUCAUCUGAGGCAGAAAAAGAAUCCAGAUCACAAAGGACAAAUGCUGUCUGGAUGAUGAAAACAAUAAAAAAGUUUGAUUCCAAUUCUUUGAAUUCUUUUUUUUUCUUUUUAAUGAUUCAAUCCCUGGGAUUUCAGAAUAU
This 856-nucleotide long non-coding RNA is filed under the name Oryzias javanicus (javanese ricefish). RNAcentral's name for it is "lncRNA (ENSOJAG00000017679.1)". The record is from RNAcentral. Lineage: Eukaryota; Metazoa; Chordata; Actinopteri; Beloniformes; Adrianichthyidae.